Octopus sinensis (East Asian common octopus) is the source of this 99-nucleotide long non-coding RNA. RefSeq lists it as uncharacterized. The record is from RefSeq and is a predicted model, not a curated record. NCBI's taxonomy places the organism in Eukaryota, Metazoa, Mollusca, Cephalopoda, Octopoda, Octopodidae. The transcript is spliced from 5 exons.
UAUGUAUGUAUGUGUGUGAGGAGAGAGAGAGCAUUGAUAUGUUGCGAUAUGUUUCAAUGAAACAGACAGCAAUCUCAACUAAAGGCGACCGACAACAGU